Molecule: ribosomal RNA, 474 nt
Filed under: uncultured Actinomycetes bacterium
Lineage: Bacteria; Bacillati; Actinomycetota; Actinomycetes
Description: bacterial SSU rRNA
Rfam family: Bacterial small subunit ribosomal RNA
Source: RNAcentral
UGGGGAAUAUUGGACAAUGGGCGGAAGCCUGAUCCAGCAACGCCGCGUGAGGGAUGACGGCCUUCGGGUUGUAAACCUCUUUCAGUACCGACGAAGCGAAAGUGACGGUAGGUACAGAAGAAGCACCGGCCAACUACGUGCCAGCAGCCGCGGUAAUACGUAGGGUGCGAGCGUUGUCCGGAAUUAUUGGGCGUAAAGGGCUCGUAGGCGGUUUGUCGCGUCGGGAGUGAAACACCGGGCUUAACUCGGUGCUUGCUUUCGAUACGGGCAGACUAGAGGUAUUCAGGGGAGAACGGAAUUCCUGGUGUAGCGGUGAAAUGCGCAGAUAUCAGGAGGACACCGGUGCGAAGGCGGUUCUCUGGGAAUAGUCCUGACGCUGAGGAGCGAAAGUGUGGGGAGCGAACAGGAUUAGAUACCCUGGUAGUCCACGACCGUAAACGUUGGGACGCUAGGUGUGGGGUCCGAUUCCACGGA